Molecule: long non-coding RNA, 375 nt
Organism: Sapajus apella (tufted capuchin)
Lineage: Eukaryota; Metazoa; Chordata; Mammalia; Primates; Cebidae
Exons: 3
Source: RefSeq, a predicted model, not a curated record
UUUCUGCUCCUGUCUUUGAUACCUCAUGUGAGUGGAAUCAUGCAAUUUUUGUCCUUUGGUGACUGGCUUAUUUCUCUUAGCAUAAUGCCUUCAAGGUUCAUUCAUGUUAUAGCAUGUAUCAGACUGUCUUUCCUCUUUAAGAUCAAAUAAUAUUUCAUCAUGUAUUAGUACAAUCACAAUGUUUUGCAACUGUUACCUUUAUCCAGUUCUUACAUACAUCAUAUUUUGUCAUUUAUUAAUUGAUGGAUGCAUGAGUUGCUUCUAACGUUCUGCUGUUGUAAAUAAUACUGCUAAGAAUAUGGCUUACAAAUAUCUUUUUGAGUAUGUCUUUUCAUAUGCUUAUUAAAUAUUUCUUUAUCUUCCUUGGAGAAAUGU